AAGUCGUAACAAGGUUUCCGUAGGUGAACCUGCGGAAGGAUCAUUACUGUGAUUAUACCAACACCACACUGUGUGGGCGCACAAAACACCUAAACCUGGAGUAUACACACGUCAACAAAAGAUCUAAAAGAAUAAAACUUUCAACAACGGAUCUCUUGGUUCUC
This 164-nucleotide unclassified non-coding RNA is filed under the name Pichia membranifaciens. RNAcentral describes it as "partial internal transcribed spacer region". The stretch from base 1 to 46 matches the Rfam family "Eukaryotic small subunit ribosomal RNA", at positions 1786 to 1831 of the family's 1831-position model. The record is from RNAcentral. RNAcentral also lists the same sequence under 2 other names. Lineage: Eukaryota; Fungi; Ascomycota; Pichiomycetes; Pichiales; Pichiaceae.